Molecule: ribosomal RNA, 497 nt
Filed under: uncultured bacterium
Lineage: Bacteria
Description: partial 16S ribosomal RNA
Rfam family: Bacterial small subunit ribosomal RNA
Source: RNAcentral
GAUGAACGCUGGCGGCGUGCCUAAUACAUGCAAGUCGAGCGAACGGACGAGAAGCUUGCUUCUCUGAUGUUAGCGGCGGACGGGUGAGUAACACGUGGAUAACCUACCUAUAAGACUGGGAUAACUUCGGGAAACCGGAGCUAAUACCGGAUAAUAUUUUGAACCGCAUGGUUCAAAAGUGAAAGACGGUCUUGCUGUCACUUAUAGAUGGAUCCGCGCUGCAUUAGCUAGUUGGUAAGGUAACGGCUUACCAAGGCAACGAUGCAUAGCCGACCUGAGAGGGUGGUUGGCCAUACUGGAAGUGAGACACGGUCCAGACUCCUACGGGAGGCAGCAGUAGGGAAUCUUCCGCAAUGGUCGAAAGCCUGAAGGAGCAACGCCGCGUGAGUGAUGAAGGUCUUCGGAUCGUAAAACUCUGUUAUUAGGGAAGAACAUAUGUGUAAGUAACUGUGCACAUCUUGACGGUACCUAAUCAGAAAGCCACGGCUAACUACGUG